UUUCCUAGCUCGAGUUAGCUAGUCUGUUAAGACAGCUCACAAACAUUUUAAUCUAUAUAAAAAACGAAUAAUGUGAGCAGAAACAUUAAAUAACCAUAUGCAUAAAAGUUAUAAACAUGUUUUGAAAACAAACAUUCCUUCUUGCAAAAUAUAAGGAAAACUUUUCCAUAUUGACAUGACGUGGGAUGAAACUGGUUCCCACAUAGUAUAAGAUCCAAUGACAUCUAUAAAUAUUAAUUAUCUAUACGAGGUUAUCACUUAUCACAUAAAUGUUUUAACUAAUAUACAAACAAGAUAAAUAACCACAAUUUAACUUUAAAUCUAACCGAUAUGAAUAUGUUUAGAUAGAAAAAUGUACUGAGCCGUGUGAUAAACGUGAUAUAAUAUUAAAAAGAAGCGGGUAGCAGUAGUAUUAGUUGGAUUGCAAUAAAAAUCACCUAUGUUAUUUUAAUAUUCAUAUCAAAAUGAAAGAUCUUAUGUAGGGGUUUAUUCCUAAACAAGCUCUUAGACAAAGCAACAUACUUAAUACAUCGCUAAUAUAUACAUCCCACGCAGCUACGGCGAGCACUUCGCAGUCAGACUUAGCCAUGAAGGUCACAUUGUUUUACCUCAUAAUAUUAAUUCUUGCUAUGAGCGUCUCUGCUAAUUAUUAUACCACUGCCCGCAGUGGCUUCGGAGUAAGCUGCCAGCAAGCCUGCGAAGCAGAAGCACGAGGGCCAGAUCGGUGUAGUUCCACGGGUUCUGGUUGGUUCACAUGUGAUUGUUACUGUGAGAGUAAUGGUUUAGAUUAGUGAAGUGAUUUGUGAGCAAAUAAAUAUGUAAUUCAUU
This is a long non-coding RNA of Pieris napi, 828 nucleotides long. RefSeq lists it as uncharacterized. The transcript is spliced from 2 exons. Lineage: Eukaryota; Metazoa; Arthropoda; Insecta; Lepidoptera; Pieridae. The record is from RefSeq and is a predicted model, not a curated record.